This 674-nucleotide ribosomal RNA is filed under the name Bifidobacterium sp. JCM 7023. RNAcentral describes it as "bacterial SSU rRNA". It matches the Rfam family "Bacterial small subunit ribosomal RNA", at positions 62 to 744 of the family's 1533-position model. Lineage: Bacteria; Bacillati; Actinomycetota; Actinomycetes; Bifidobacteriales; Bifidobacteriaceae. The record is from RNAcentral.
UCGAACGGGAUCCUGCAAGCUUGCUUGCGGGUGAGAGUGGCGAACGGGUGAGUAAUGCGUGACCAACCUGCCCCAUGCUCCGGAAUAGCUCCUGGAAACGGGUGGUAAUGCCGGAUGUGCCGGGCUCCUGCAUGGGGGUCCGGGAAAGCUCUGGCGGCGUGGGAUGGGGUCGCGUCCUAUCAGCUUGUUGGCGGGGUGAGGGCCCACCAAGGCUUCGACGGGUAGCCGGCCUGAGAGGGCGACCGGCCACAUUGGGACUGAGAUACGGCCCAGACUCCUACGGGAGGCAGCAGUGGGGAAUAUUGCACAAUGGGCGCAAGCCUGAUGCAGCGACGCCGCGUGCGGGAUGGAGGCCUUCGGGUUGUAAACCGCUUUUGUUUGGGAGCAAGCCCUUCGGGGUGAGUGUACCUUUCGAAUAAGCACCGGCUAACUACGUGCCAGCAGCCGCGGUAAUACGUAGGGUGCGAGCGUUAUCCGGAUUUAUUGGGCGUAAAGGGCUCGUAGGCGGUUCGUCGCGUCCGGUGUGAAAGUCCAUCGCCUAACGGUGGAUCUGCGCCGGGUACGGGCGGGCUGGAGUGCGGUAGGGGAGACUGGAAUUCCCGGUGUAACGGUGGAAUGUGUAGAUAUCGGGAAGAACACCAAUGGCGAAGGCAGGUCUCUGGGCCGUUACUGAC